Molecule: ribosomal RNA, 156 nt
Filed under: Triticum aestivum (bread wheat)
Lineage: Eukaryota; Viridiplantae; Streptophyta; Magnoliopsida; Poales; Poaceae
Description: rRNA 5_8S_rRNA
Rfam family: 5.8S ribosomal RNA
About the family: 5.8S ribosomal RNA (5.8S rRNA) is a component of the large subunit of the eukaryotic ribosome. It is transcribed by RNA polymerase I as part of the 45S precursor that also contains 18S and 28S rRNA.
Source: RNAcentral
GACUCUCGGCAACGGAUAUCUCGGCUCUCGCAUCGAUGAAGAACGUAGCGAAAUGCGAUACCUGGUGUGAAUUGCAGAAUCCCGCGAACCAUUGAGUCUUUGAACGCAAGUUGUGCCCGAGGCCACUCGGCCGAGGGCACGCCUGCCUGGGCGUCA